Molecule: ribosomal RNA, 382 nt
Filed under: uncultured Sphingobacteriales bacterium
Lineage: Bacteria; Pseudomonadati; Bacteroidota; Sphingobacteriia; Sphingobacteriales
Description: bacterial SSU rRNA
Rfam family: Bacterial small subunit ribosomal RNA
Source: RNAcentral
GUAGGUGAAAGCUUACAUCUCUUCGGAGCAUUUUACGAGGUGCUGCAUGGUUGUCGUCAGCUCGUGCCGUGAGGUGCGGGUUAAGUCCCAUAACGAGCGCAACCCUACCUUUAGUUGCCAUCAGGUUAAGCUGGGGACUCUAAAGGAACUGCCUACGCAAGUAGUGAGGAAGGCGGGGAUGACGUCAAAUCAGCACGGCCCUUACGUCCAGGGCUACACACGCGCUACAAUGGCCGAUACAGAGGGCAGCUACCUGGUGACAGGAUGCAAAUCUCCAAAGUCGGUCUCAGUUCGGAUCGGAGUCUGCAACCCGACUCCGUGAAGUUGGAUUCGCUAGUAAUCGCGCAUCAGCCAUGGCGCGGUGAAUACGUUCCCGGGCCUU